CAGGAGGUAGUUUGAUAAUAAAAUGCUUGCUUUGGGGGCUAGUGAUGACAUGGACGUCUUUCUUC
Molecule: transfer RNA, 65 nt
Filed under: Blanus cinereus (Mediterranean worm lizard)
Lineage: Eukaryota; Metazoa; Chordata; Lepidosauria; Squamata; Blanidae
Description: tRNA-Pro
Source: RNAcentral